Molecule: transfer RNA, 75 nt
Filed under: Bacteroidota bacterium
Lineage: Bacteria; Pseudomonadati; Bacteroidota
Description: Bacteroidetes bacterium tRNA-Gln
Rfam family: tRNA
About the family: Transfer RNA (tRNA) molecules are approximately 80 nucleotides in length.
Source: RNAcentral
UGCCUGAUGGUGUAAAGGCAACACAUUCGAUGCUGAAUCGGAAGACUCUUGGUUCGAAUCCUUGUCAGGCAACAA